RNAcentral lists this unclassified non-coding RNA (438 nucleotides) under Zea mays. Its description in RNAcentral is "misc RNA Zm00001eb350160". Lineage: Eukaryota; Viridiplantae; Streptophyta; Magnoliopsida; Poales; Poaceae. The record is from RNAcentral.
CUGCCCCAGCCAUGGACGUCGUCGGGCCACCCGUCUCCUAUCUCCCCUCGCCCUCAUCCUCUGGCUGCUGCCCCUUCCUAUUCCUGGUGGCUGAGUCUUCUUCCAUGGAUGCUGGCCGUGCUGCCCUCCCUGGUGCUCACCUCUGCCCCCUGCGUUGGAUGGCCGGUUGCUCCUGCCCUAGGUUUGUCAAGCGCUAACUCUGCUCCAUCUAUCCCUGCUCGAAUCUUGCUGAUUGGCCCUGCGCAGAUUAUACUCAUGCCCGACCGUGGUACAACAGCAACAGCCAUGAAACCCCAUCGUGUCGCGCCCGCCCUCGACGUGUUCGACGGAAUAUCGCAGCACCUACCGUCGACGUUGUGCCUCGCGCUUCACCAAUGCGAUGAAAUGUCUGAGCGAAUAGACGACAUGCGACCCGAGUUUGAUUCUGCCAGACAGUGA